UACGUAGGGGGCAAGCGUUGUCCGGAUUUAUUGGGCGUAAAGAGCGUGUAGGCGGCCACACAGGUCAGCUGUGAAAACUCGAGGCUCAACCUCGAGACGUCGGUUGAAACCGUAUGGCUAGAGUCCGGAAGAGGAGAGUGGAAUUCCCGGUGUAGCGGUGAAAUGCGUAGAGAUCGGGAGGAACACCAGUGGCGAAGGCGGCCUUCUGGACCAAUACUGACGCUCAUGCACGAAAGCGUGGGGAGCAAACAGG
This 253-nucleotide ribosomal RNA is filed under the name uncultured bacterium. RNAcentral's name for it is "partial 16S ribosomal RNA". It matches the Rfam family "Bacterial small subunit ribosomal RNA", at positions 524 to 776 of the family's 1533-position model. The record is from RNAcentral.